UAGGGAAUCUUCCACAAUGGACGCAAGUCUGAUGGAGCAACGCCGCGUGAGUGAAGAAGGUCUUCGGAUCGUAAAACUCUGUUGUUAGAGAAGAACACGAGUGAGAGUAACUGUUCAUUCGAUGACGGUAUCUAACCAGCAAGUCACGGCUAACUACGUGCCAGCAGCCGCGGUAAUACGUAGGUGGCAAGCGUUGUCCGGAUUUAUUGGGCGUAAAGGGAACGCAGGCGGUCUUUUAAGUCUGAUGUGAAAGCCUUCGGCUUAACCGGAGUAGUGCAUUGGAAACUGGAAGACUUGAGUGCAGAAGAGGAGAGUGGAACUCCAUGUGUAGCGGUGAAAUGCGUAGAUAUAUGGAAGAACACCAGUGGCGAAAGCGGCUCUCUGGUCUGUAACUGACGCUGAGGUUCGAAAGCGUGGGUAGCAAACAGGA
This 430-nucleotide ribosomal RNA is filed under the name uncultured bacterium. Its description in RNAcentral is "bacterial SSU rRNA". It matches the Rfam family "Bacterial small subunit ribosomal RNA", at positions 355 to 777 of the family's 1533-position model. The record is from RNAcentral.